Molecule: ribosomal RNA, 785 nt
Filed under: uncultured marine bacterium
Lineage: Bacteria
Description: bacterial SSU rRNA
Rfam family: Bacterial small subunit ribosomal RNA
Source: RNAcentral
UGAUCCUGGCUCAGGAUGAACGCUAGCGGCAGGCCUAACACAUGCAAGUCGAGGGGUAACAUAGAUUGCUUGCAAUCUGAUGACGACCGGCGCACGGGUGCGUAACGCGUAUACAAUCUACCUUGUACUGGAGAAUAGCCCAGAGAAAUUUGGAUUAAUGCUCCAUAGUAUGUCGACCUCGCAUGGGGAUGACAUUAAAGGUUACGGUACAAGAUGAGUAUGCGUCCUAUUAGCUAGAUGGUGUGGUAACGGCACACCAUGGCAACGAUAGGUAGGGGCCCUGAGAGGGGGAUCCCCCACACUGGUACUGAGACACGGACCAGACUCCUACGGGAGGCAGCAGUGAGGAAUAUUGGACAAUGGAGGCAACUCUGAUCCAGCCAUGCCGCGUGCAGGAAGACUGCCCUAUGGGUUGUAAACUGCUUUUAUACAGGAAGAAACCGCUCUACGUGUAGAGCUCUGACGGUACUGUAAGAAUAAGGAUCGGCUAACUCCGUGCCAGCAGCCGCGGUAAUACGGAGGAUCCAAGCGUUAUCCGGAAUCAUUGGGUUUAAAGGGUCCGUAGGUGGAUAAUUAAGUCAGAGGUGAAAGUUUGCCGCUUAACGGUAAAAUUGCCUUUGAUACUGGUUAUCUUGAAUUAUUGUGAAGUAGUUAGAAUAUGUAGUGUAGCGGUGAAAUGCAUAGAUAUUACAUAGAAUACCAAUUGCGAAGGCAGAUUACUAACAAUCAAUUGACACUGAUGGACGAAAGCGUAGGUAGCGAACGGGAUUAGAUACCCCGGUAGU